Molecule: ribosomal RNA, 487 nt
Filed under: uncultured bacterium
Lineage: Bacteria
Description: partial 16S ribosomal RNA
Rfam family: Bacterial small subunit ribosomal RNA
Source: RNAcentral
GACGAACGCUGGCGGCGUGCUUAACACAUGCAAGUCGAACGGUGAAGGGACCAGCUUGCUGGUUCUGGAUGAGUGGCGAACGGGUGAGUAACACGUGAGUAACCUGCCCCCUUCUUCUGGAUAACCGCAUGAAAGUGUGGCUAAUACGGGAUAUUCUGGGUCUGUCGCAUGGCGGGCCCGGGAAAGAUAUUGCUUCGGUGGGGGAUGGGCUCGCGGCCUAUCAGCUUGUUGGUGGGGUGAUGGCCUACCAAGGCGGUGACGGGUAGCCGGCCUGAGAGGGUGGACGGUCACACUGGGACUGAGACACGGCCCAGACUCCUACGGGAGGCAGCAGUGGGGAAUAUUGCACAAUGGGCGCAAGCCUGAUGCAGCGACGCCGCGUGAGGGAUGGAGGCCUUCGGGUUGUAAACCUCUUUCGCCAGUGAAGCAGGCCUGCUCCUUGUGGGUGGGUUGACGGUAGCUGGAUAAGAAGCGCCGGCUAACUACG